AUUGAACGCUGGCGGCAUGCUUUACACAUGCAAGUCGGACGGCAGCGCGGGCUUCGGCCUGGCGGCGAGUGGCGAACGGGUGAGUAAUGCAUCGGAACGUGCCCAGUAGUGGGGGAUAGCCCGGCGAAAGCCGGAUUAAUACCGCAUACGACCUGAGGGUGAAAGCGGGGGACCGAAAGGCCUCGCGCUAUUGGAGCGGCCGAUGUCGGAUUAGCUAGUUGGUGGGGUAAAGGCUUACCAAGGCGACGAUCCGUAGCUGGUCUGAGAGGACGACCAGCCACACUGGGACUGAGACACGGCCCAGACUCCUACGGGAGGCAGCAGUGGGGAAUUUUGGACAAUGGGGGCAACCCUGAUCCAGCCAUGCCGCGUGCGGGAAGAAGGCCUUCGGGUUGUAAACCGCUUUUGUUCGGGAAGAAAUCCUCUGGGCUAAUACCCCGGGGGGAUGACGGUACCGGAAGAAUAAGCACCGGCUAACUACGU
This 483-nucleotide ribosomal RNA is filed under the name uncultured bacterium. Its description in RNAcentral is "partial 16S ribosomal RNA". It matches the Rfam family "Bacterial small subunit ribosomal RNA", at positions 28 to 506 of the family's 1533-position model. The record is from RNAcentral.